This 734-nucleotide ribosomal RNA is filed under the name Variovorax paradoxus. RNAcentral describes it as "bacterial SSU rRNA". It matches the Rfam family "Bacterial small subunit ribosomal RNA", at positions 62 to 776 of the family's 1533-position model. The record is from RNAcentral. Lineage: Bacteria; Pseudomonadati; Pseudomonadota; Betaproteobacteria; Burkholderiales; Comamonadaceae.
UCGACGGGCAGCGAGGAGACAAUCCCGGGUGGCGGGGGGGCGAACGGGUGAGUUAAUACAUUCGGAAGGGGCCAAUCGUGGGGGGAUAACGCAGCGAAAAGCUGUGCCUAAUACCGCAUUACGAUCUACGGAUGAAAGCAGGGGGAUCGCAAGACCCUUGCGCGAAUGGAGCGGCCGAUGGCAGAUUAGGUAGUUUGGGUGAAGUAAAAGGCUUCCCCAAGCCGUCGAUCCGGUAGCUGGUCUGAGAGGGACGACCCAGCCACACUGGGACUGAGACACGGCCCGGCUCCUACGGGAGGCAGCAGUGGGGAAUUUGGACAAUGGGCGAAAGCCUGAUCCAGCCAUGCCCGCGUGCAGGAUGAAGGCCUUCGGGUUGUAAACUGCUUUUGUACGGAACGAAACGGCCUUUUCUAAUAAAGAGGGCUAAUGACGGUACCGUAAGAAUAAGCACCGGCUAACUACGUGCCAGCAGCCGCGGUAAUACGUAGGGUGCAAGCGUUAAUCGGAAUUACUGGGCGUAAAGCGUGCGCAGGCGGUUAUGUAAGACAGUUGUGAGAUCCCCGGGCUCAACCUGGGAACUGCAUCUGUGACUGCAUAGCUAGAGUACGGUAGAGGGGGAUGGAAUUCCGCGUGUAGCAGUGAAAUGCGUAGAUAUGCGGAGGAACACCGAUGGCGAAGGCAAUCCCCUGGACCUGUACUGACGCUCAUGCACGAAAGCGUGGGGAGCAAACAGG